RNAcentral lists this long non-coding RNA (7011 nucleotides) under Homo sapiens (human). RNAcentral describes it as "HLA complex group 18". Lineage: Eukaryota; Metazoa; Chordata; Mammalia; Primates; Hominidae. The record is from RNAcentral.
GAGGCUCGUGUCAGUGGAAGCUGGGGUGUCGGCGGGCGGCCGCGGCCGGGUCUAGCGGUGCCUGCGGAAGAAGGAGGAGGAGGGCUGGCGAUGAGAAGCAGCAGGGGGAAUCAAGGGCAAGAAGGGACCCAGAGGGGCAGGUGGCUGAGAUGCUGGCGUCCAGGUGACCCGAGGAAUCCUCUGGAGAUACAGGCCCGCGCAUGCGCGUGCUCGAGCGCUGAAGCCCAUUGCCCGCAGGGCGCUGGACUGGCGCCCCGGCCGGCGAGGCUGUCUAGUCCAGGCUCCAGGCCCCGGCUCUGGCCAGGCGCCGCCGCCUCCCGGUGCAGCUGAAAGUCGACGAAGAGGGCGGGGCGGGGGCGGCUUGUGGACUUCCACACUUUUCCUCUCUUCGGGCCAGUCUGGGGAGAGGGUGGCUAGCUGUGGCGGCGGCCAAUUACGUGGCGGACCUGCGGGGCUAAGCUGGCACGUCACUUCCGACUAGUGGAGUUUUUAGCCUUUUAACAUUCAAGGAUUAGGUAAAAGUCUUGCAGUGAAAAACCCGAGGACCCUUACCGCAAGUGUCUUUUGCUCCCAGCUACUGAUACUGGAUUCCACUCGUGAUUCUCCCUUUCUUAGCGCAUUCAUGAUAUAGACAUCAGUCUCUGAGCUGGAGGAGGACAAAGGCAGCGGUCCUGUGAAUUCUAUGCUCUAGCUUGGGUUAAGGGAUUUGGAAUUGCACUUGUUUCAGAGAGCUCCCUCUUUGCCCACUAGCAGGGCAUUAGCUGGUGCUGAAGACAGUGGCUGCUUGGCGAGCCUGGAUCUCCAAGUGACCCCCUCAGCAACUCCUGAUGAACAGGACUGAAGCCAAUAUUAAAGCAAGUCAACCAAAGGUUCUCUGGUGUAGACAAGACAGCAAAAGGACAGACUACCUUGUGGAACCUAGCAUUGUUCUCCUUCUGCAGCACUAAGUAACAUUUGUUCUCCGUUAAGAUCUUUGCAAACCACACACAAGAAUUGCUGGUCAUCCUGCCAAUAGAUGCUGCUCACAGAACCAAAUUUCCUGUGCUGAAUUGUCACUCAUGGGCUUGAGAGUAGGAGACUGGAGACCAAGGUGGCUAGAAUCCAGUUGGGCCUGAUGUCUCCCUGUUGAAAGGGCUCCUUGUGGAAUGAAUAGCACAUGGCUCCUGUGGUGGAUCUGAUAGUGGCAUAGCACCAAGUGAUGCAGGCCUGCCAGGGGCCACAGACACAGAAGAUGCUCCCGGGGUCCCCCAUGUACUCCAGACACACUGCAGGCCACCUCUCCCAGCAGGUUGCCAGUCAUGGGCCCCAUCAUCAUGACUUCUGUCCAAGGUGUGCUCGGAAAUCUCUUCCUUAACUGUGACUUUCUGACAGGUGGAGGAUGUGGUCAGGAGUGGGAAAAGGAUUCGAGACGGGAAGAGGGAGGGGUUCAGGAUGAAGAGAGAUAAUCUGUGCCACAGAUGCUGGCCCUGCAGUUAGCUCCCACCUAGUCCGUGCACACACAUUCUAAUCCCCUCCCAUUCCUUUACAUGCUGCGGCCAGAGAGGCCUUUCUCAAAGUGGAAGUCUCAUCCUCACUUCUCUGGUUACAGUGCUGGGCCAUGGUAACUUACAAGGCUUAGCAGGAACUGUCUGCGCACUCCCCCUUCCUGCCCACUACCUUGUUUCCCUCCAGUUGCGAGAGAAAACAUUGAUUGAGCAUUAACUAUGUGCCAGGCUUGUCCUAAGUCCUUUGCAUGUAUUCACUCAAACAAUCCUCACAACAUUCCUAUCACAUCUCCCAUUUCACAGUGAGGGUUCUAAAGCACGUAGUGGGUGAGGAACUUGUCCAGGGUCACACAACUAAGUGGGGGUGGAGAAACAUCAAAUCUAGGUGGUCCAGGUGGUGGCCAGAACCCAUCAGCACCUCACUACAGCUGCCUCCAGUUUCUCGCUCUAGGAAAUACUCUUCCCUGUCAACUCCUGUUGUCCUCUGGGCUCAGUUGACAUGUCAUCUCCUUGAGGAGGACAUCCUGAGAUGCUCCCCGACUAGGGUGGGCACCCACUUCCACACUCCAAAUGCCUAUUUGACCUGUGUAUCGCUGCAUCCCCACUGCCUGGCAGAUAGCAGGCCCCUAAUAAAUAUGAUUUGAGCAAAUAAAUAUAGUUCUUCAAAAAAUAGGGAGGACUUCUUGCUUCAGGUAAUGGUAGGCUAGGACAUUUGGACCAACCCUCCUGCAGAAAAUAGCCAUUUAUUUUGAUGCAAUAUAUCUGGCUAUGACUAGAGAUUUCAAAUAUUUGGAGGGCUAUUAUGUGAAGAACUAAACUUACUCUUUGUGACAUAGAGGUCAGAAAUUGGUCGUUUCCAUAGAGUAUGAGAGAGACAGAAUUGUGCUCAUCAUAAGUAUCUUUUUUAAAAGUUAGACUUAAUAAAAUGGGCUGCCUUGGUAGGUGGUGAGUUCUCUGUCACGAAAGAGAUUCAGCCACUUGCUCUGAGAAAGCAUGGAGAAUAUCAACAUUGUAAGGGUCGACCACCUCAUCUCUGAGGCCCCCUCCUCACUUAGGUUGCCAUUGCAGGUGGAACACUGGGCUGAGUGUCAAAGAACCUGGGUUCCACAAGCUGUGCGACCAUGGCUGGUUGUUUUGGAUCUCAUUCCUAAUAUCUGUUAGUUAAGCUGACCCGUCAAUACUGACCCACUUCACAGAGUUAUGAAGGGAUUAAAUUAGGUAUUACAUGUAAAUCUGUUUUGUUUGCUUUUUGUUGUUCUUUUUUGUUUUGCUUUUUUCUUUGCAUUAUGAAAUCCCAAGUCAACUUUUUCCAUUCUUUUAUUUUUUUAAAAAUUGACAUCAUCAUUAUAACCACAAAAUAAUUUUUAAAAUGGAAAAAAAAAACUCACCUGCAACCCCACAAUCUAAUACAAUAAUCAUACUUUUUUCCCUUUAUUCUCCUUUAUUGUGACCAAGGAUGACUUUGGGCAUUGCUGUGAGGAACUAUUUCGUUUAACACCCUACUACCUGAACAUGAUGCGUACUCAGCCUUUCACCACCCCCCAAGUAGCUACACAUGAUGUGAUAAUAGUAUUGGUGGUGGUUUUAGAGAGUUGGAGAGAAAACUGAAGUUGGAUUUGGGUAAAAGAAAAAAGAGUGGGAAUUAUUUUUUCUCCAUUCUAAAGCCCAUAAAGCAAUGUUAAUUGUUCCCACCCCUCUGCUAUUCUGUCUCCUCAGGUACUGUGUGCAGAAAUGUGAUUGAGAUUCAAGUCAGGGCCUCUCUGCCCUUUUCCCUCCAGAAACAAAACCAAGAUAAUUUAUCCUGAACACGGUGAAAAAAGGAAGGGAGGGAGGAGAAAAAGUCCGGGUCUCACCUGGGAUUCUCUGUCUCCUGCAACAUGAAGGAUUUAGCCUGGGAGGAGGUGGUGAGAACUCUGGGAGAGAAAAAAGAAGGAAAGAAUAGUUUUACCCAUGCUGAAGUUAAUUUAAACCUUCACCUAGAGAAGCAAAAAAAAAAAACCCACACUUUCCCAUUUUGUGCCUCCCUUCCUAGAGUUUUAGCCAAAGGUUUAGCUAAGUAAUUGGUUUUACCAGCGCACUCACUCCUCCUAUCCCAAGUCUGUUUGACUCCCUCCCCAUCAUCCUCCUCACCUCUUUUCAGGCAGGGUGGGGAUAGCAGCAGGAGGAGAUUUUGGGAGCCUGGCAACUCCUGCAAGGACCGCAGGACAGCCCCUCUGUGGGGAUGCGUGGUGCCCCAUCUGCCGCCCUUCUGAAGAAUGCACUGCCUUCACUUUUUACUGUGUUAGAGUCCAUCCAGACUGUUCUAUCCAAAAAAGUUUCUUUUUCCCCCACAGGCAAUCAGGAAAUGAUUCCUUUCCCGACUGCUUCUGUCUAGUGCCUGGGAAUCUUGAGUCAAUCCCUCAGUAAGUCAGUGACUAGGGAAAUCCCUCUCUGAGCCUCCCAGUUCAUGUUGCUUAGGGAACCUGAUAUUUUCGUGAAACCUGCCUACACAUGGGCAGCCCAACAGCAGAACAAAUGGUGGUGACCAAAGUGAACAAAGAAGUAUAGUUGUGCCAGCUUCGUAGUUGCCCAUGUGGACAAGUCAGCAGGAUCAGGACACGAGGAAGAGUAAAUGUGAGACAGUCAAUGUGACUUCUGCGAUAAACAGAUUUUUAAACCCCGAAAUUUUGCAAAAUUUUGGUGAAACCUGAACUUUCUUCGUUGCAUAUACUGGCACUAUCUGUACCAUCAUACAACUGUCUCACAUUAAAGCUAUUUUUCUUGGGCACUGAUGAGUAAGGGACUUGCACUUAGGAAUCUGUUACAGUGAGCACAGAAGCAGACCUGUGGGCUCAUAGUCUUCACCCCCCACCCAUAUAUACAAGAUGAACAGAGUGGAGGUUAAACAACUUGACUAAACAACACAGUUCAUGGUAAAGCCCAAGACUGUACCUGCCCAUCCACUGCCUUUUCCAUGUAUCCUGGAACUGAGCAUAGACCUCUUCCCAGGCAGAGCUGACAGCAAGUAAAGGAGAUCAUAAUCAGGGGACCAAACAACUUUGUCUAAAGUGUGAAUGUCACCUAAGGAGAAGCUGUGAGAUCAGAAGGGUGGGGCAGAGGAGCAGACACCAUGAGGGAGAGUCCUUGGGGGUACAUCUGCCAGACUGACACUGUCUGGCCUGGGCAGUGGAGGGGCUAGCAGGAACCACAGGUACUGGUGGUGUGGCUACUACCGUUACAACUGCCUGUGCUUGGACAUGGACCCUCUGCAAUAUGCGGCAGUUUCAUUCAUUGCCCCCUACAUUCUACACCAAGUAGAAAUGGAAGGCAAUUGGAUACUUCACAGACAAGAUCUAAGUGGAGAAGGAAUGCGUCCUGUGGCUGCAGAGAUCCUUGGAGCUUGGAGGGGAGAGCUUGAGCCCCACUGAUGAUGACCUCCCACAGCUCGCCAACUCAGCCCUCCCUAAGUCCCCAUCGGGGGCCAAUUCUCACUCUGGGGUUGGGGGGACUCCACCAUAGCUCAUCCAUCAUAGGGAUGUUGGUAUCUACUGUGGGUUGGGUAGGGCCGAUGUGCUGAGGAUGGCUCCCCCACAAGCAAGAGAUGUGGAUUUGGGGAGCUUCCCAUCUUGUGUUGAAGGAACAUAACUCAGAAUAAUAAGAGCCAACUAUAACAAACCCACAGCCAACAUCAUACUGAAUGGGCAAAAGCUGCAGGCAUUCCCCUUGAAAAGUGGCACAGGAUAAGGAAGCCCUUUCUCACCACUCCUAUUCAAUAUAGUGUUGAAAGUCCUGAUCACAGCAGUCAGGCAACAGAAAUAAUAAAGGGCAUCCAAAUAGGAAGAGAGGAAGUCAAACUAUCCUUGUUUGCAGACAGUAUGAUUCUAUAUCUAGAAAACCCCAUAGCCUCAGCCCAAAAGGUCCUUCAUCUGAUAAUUUCAGCAAAGUUUCAGGAGACAAAAUCAGUGUACAAAAAUCACUAACAUUCCUAUACACAGUCGCCAAGCCAAGAGCCAAAUCAGGAGCACAAUCCCAUUCAUAAUUGCCACAAAAAAGAAUAAAAUACCCAGGAAUGCAGCUAACCAAGGAAGUAAAGGAUCUCUACAAUGAGAAUCACAAACGCUGCUCAAAGAAAUCAGAGAUGACACAAACAAAUGGAAAAACUUUCCAUGCUCAUGGCUAGGAAGAAUCAAUAUCAUUAAAGUGGCCAUACUACCCAAAGCAAUUUAUAGAUUCAAUGCUAUUCCUAUCAAACUAUCAAUUACAUUUUUCACAGAACUAGAAAAAACUUAAAAUUCAUAUGGAACCAAAAAGCCUGAGUAGUCAAGGCAAUCCUAAACAAAAAGAACAAAGGUGGAGGCAUCACAUUACCUAACUUCAAACUACAGGGCUACCAUGACCAAAACAGCAUGGUACUGGUACAAAAGCAGACACACAGACCAGUGGGACAGAAUAGAGAGCCCAAAAAUAAGGCCACAAACCUACAGCCAUCUGAUCUUCAACAAAGUUGACAAAAACAAGCAAUGGGGAAAGGUCUCCCUAUUCAAUAAAUGGUGCUGGGAUAACUGGCUGGCCAUAUGCAGAAGAUCGUAACUGGACCCCUUUUACUAUGUACAAAAAUUAAGAUGGUUUAAAGAGUUAAAACCCAAAAUUAUAAAAAUCCUGAAGAUAACUUAGGCAAUACCAUUCUGGACAUAGGAACUGGCAAAUAUUUCAUGAUGAAGACACCAAAAGCAAUUGUAACAAAAGCAAAAAUGGACAAAUUGGAUUUAAGAGCUUUUUCAUAGCAAAAUAAACAACAGGGCAGACAAUCUACCAAAUGACAGAAAAUUUUUGCAAACUAUGCAUCUGACAAGGGGCUAAUAUCUAGCAUCUAUAAGGAAUUUAAACACAGUUACAGGAAAAAAAAAACCCACUCCAUUAAAAAAUGGGCAAAGGACAUGAACAGACACUUUUCAAAAAAGACAUACAUACAGCCAACUAGCGUGUUAAAGAAAACCUCAAUUAUCACUGAUCAUUAGAGAAAUGCAAAAUCAAAACCAUGAUGAGAUAUCAUCUGCCAGUCAGGAUGGCUACAAAAAAGUAAAAAAAUAAUAGAUGUUGGUGAGGUUAUGGAGAAAAGGAACUUAUACACUUGUUAGGAGUGUAAAUUAGUUCAAUCACUGUGGACAGCAGUGUGGUGAUUCCUCAGAGAGCUAAAAACAACUACCAUUUGACUCACCAAUCCCAUUACUGGAUAUUUACCUAAAGGAAUAUAAAUCAUUCCACCAUAAAGACACAUGCAAGUGUAUGUUCAUUGCAGCACUAUUAACAGUAACAAAGCUGGGCACAGUGGCUCACCUCACGACUGUAAUCCCAGCACUUUGGGAGGCUGAGGUAGGCGGAUCACCUGAGGUCGGCAGUUUGAGACCAGCCUGACCAACAUGGAGAGACCCCAUCUCUACUAAAAAUACAAAAUUAGCCAGGUGUGGUGGCUCAUGCCUGUAAUCCCAGCUACUUGGGAGGCCAAGGCAGGAGAAUUGCUUGAACCCAGGAGGCAGAGGUUGCAGUG